UACGUAGGGUGCAAGCGUUGUCCGGAUUUAUUGGGUUUAAAGGGUGCGUAGGCGGCCUAAUAAGUCAGUGGUGAAAGACUGCAGCUCAACUGUAGGUGUGCCAUUGAUACUGUUAGGCUUGAGUACAGACGAGGUAGGCGGAAUUUAUGGUGUAGCGGUGAAAUGCAUAGAUACCAUAAAGAACACCGAUAGUGAAGACAGCUUACUAGGCUGUAACUGACGCUGAGGCACGAAAGCGUGGGGAGCGAACAGG
RNAcentral lists this unclassified non-coding RNA (253 nucleotides) under uncultured Cytophagales bacterium. RNAcentral describes it as "contains 16S-23S intergenic spacer region". It matches the Rfam family "Bacterial small subunit ribosomal RNA", at positions 524 to 776 of the family's 1533-position model. Lineage: Bacteria; Pseudomonadati; Bacteroidota; Sphingobacteriia; Sphingobacteriales. The record is from RNAcentral.